GAUGAAGAACGCAGCGAAAUGCGAUAAGUAGUGUGAAUUGCAGAAUUCAGUGAAUCAUCGAAUCUUUGAACGCACAUUGCGCCCCUUGGUAUUCCAUGGGGCAUGCCUGUUCGAGCGUCAUUUGUACCUUCAAGCUCUGCUUGGUGUUGGGUGUUUGUCUCGCCUCUGCGCGUAGACUCGCCUCAAAACAAUUGGCAGCCGGCGUAUUGAUUUCGGAGCGCAGUACAUCUCGCGCUUUGCACUCAUAACGACGACGUCCAAAAGUACAUUUUUACACUCUUGACCUCGGAUCAGGUAGGGAUACCCGCUGAACUUAAGCAUAUCGAUAAGCGGAGGA
Molecule: unclassified non-coding RNA, 337 nt
Filed under: soil metagenome
Description: partial contains 5.8S ribosomal RNA, internal transcribed spacer 2, and large subunit ribosomal RNA
Rfam family: 5.8S ribosomal RNA (bases 1-120)
Source: RNAcentral